Bos taurus (domestic cattle) is the source of this 959-nucleotide long non-coding RNA. The record is from Ensembl. Lineage: Eukaryota; Metazoa; Chordata; Mammalia; Artiodactyla; Bovidae.
CCUCGCCCGGGAAAGCCGGGGAGAGCUCCAAGGUCGAAUGCCCCCACUACUGAAUUGGAGAAGAUGGAGAAGAGGGAAAGAAAAAUUAGGUCAAGGCACCGUAGAACUGCGGGGCAAAUAGUGAGAGGGCAGGCGUCCGCUGUAGUAGCGUCGAAGCGUGAAAAAAAUACGACGGAGUCCCCGAGGGAAGAGAACCCGGAGCUGUGAGCGCCAUCCUCCUGUGGACAGUAGGCGGCGGCUUUAAAAGACUGAGCCCGGGAGAAGAAUUUCCAAUAAACAGCCUAAAGGCGGAGCCUGGGAGAAGACAGAAAGUUACACUCGCGCUGCUCUGAUAAAGGGGGUUCGGCUGCCCCCAAGCCCCAGAAUCUCGUCCUGGGUGAUGUUUUUGUUGUCAGUUUCACUCUUGGUAGUCUUCUCCUUAGAGCUGAGAAGUGGCUCAUAAGCCACCCAAGAUUUGUGUGUGUCCUUUAACAGCUUAGGAGAGAGACGAAGACCAAAAUUACUUAAAGGAAAACACCUGUGUGGUAGCCGAAUGUCCCGGCGGGGCGGCUCAGCAAGCUCGCCUCCCAGGUGCAGUUCCUCGCAGGGGGGAAGUCAGGCAGCCCCCAAAACUUCUGCGAAGGCGCACGCUUCCUGGCCCCAUUGCCCCUCCCACCUCGAGCACACGAUUUUAAUCCUUCCUCGAGGAUGCUUACGGUGAGGCGACGCUCGCUCAAUUUCACUAUGCUCCUAAACCGACACAUUUUUAGAGUUUGGAAAUUUCACAGUCUGUUUCUGACCCUUUUAAUUCAAUUUAAUAAAUACUUACUGAGCAUUUUCUAUUAAUUUGCUUAUUCUUUCUUUCUACAAAUAUUUACUGAGUGCCUUGAUAUCCGAGACUCUGGGAAUACAGAGGUAAACAAGCAGAUUUACACUAGGAUGACGGCUUACACUCUAGUAGGGGGAGAGGAGACAGAAAA